AACUUUGAUCUACCUGAUGUCAUUGAUAAUUCAAAGGAUUAGUGAAAGGUAUGAAUGUUGAGGAACACAUUUCACUUGUGUCUGCAUGGUAAUUUUACUGACAAGCUACCACAAUUUGAUUGUGAUUGUUAUAUUUUAAAGGAUAUUCUACAGAAUUGGUCAGAUGAAGAUGCUCUGCUGAUAUUAUGUAAAGUUGAAUCAGUUGCUAAGAGAAAUAAGAGUCGUCUUGUGAUUAU
Molecule: long non-coding RNA, 236 nt
Organism: Amphimedon queenslandica
Lineage: Eukaryota; Metazoa; Porifera; Demospongiae; Haplosclerida; Niphatidae
Exons: 3
Source: RefSeq, a predicted model, not a curated record